RNAcentral lists this ribosomal RNA (491 nucleotides) under uncultured bacterium. Its description in RNAcentral is "partial 16S ribosomal RNA". It matches the Rfam family "Bacterial small subunit ribosomal RNA", at positions 28 to 507 of the family's 1533-position model. The record is from RNAcentral.
GAUGAACGCUGGCUACAGGCUUAACACAUGCAAGUCGAGGGGAAACGACGGGGAAGCUUGCUUCCCCGGGCGUCGACCGGCGCACGGGUGAGUAACGCGUAUCCAACCUGCCUCUGACUGAGGGAUAACCCGUCGAAAGUCGGCCUAAUACCUCAUGGCAUCGUCUGCGGGCAUCCAACGACGAUUAAAGAUUUCAUCGGUCAGGGAUGGGGAUGCGUCUGAUUAGCUAGUUGGCGGGGUAACGGCCCACCAAGGCGACGAUCAGUAGGGGUUCUGAGAGGAAGGUCCACCACAUUGGAACUGAGACACGGUCCAAACUCCUACGGGAGGCAGCAGUGAGGAAUAUUGGUCAAUGGGCGAGAGCCUGAACCAGCCAAGUAGCGUGCAGGAUGACGGCCCUAUGGGUUGUAAACUGCUUUUAUGCGGGGAUAAAGUGAGGGACGUGUCCUUCAUUGCAGGUACCGCAUGAAUAAGGACCGGCUAAUUCCGUG